GAGUACUUCCUUUUUGGCAAUAGCGAGAAACCUAACAGCCAUGCACUUUGUUGACUUUUCUACUGCUAAAUUAAUUUUUCUGUUACUCCUUAAUUAAUCAUUGAUGAAAAUUCGGCUCAUAUAUGCACUUGUUAUCCAUUUAAGAAUUAUUCUUUCUUAGCACUUACAAUGGAUGAGCCAACCCGCAGCAGUAAAAUUAGGCCACUCUAUUUACUUUUCGGUAA
This 224-nucleotide long non-coding RNA is filed under the name Nicotiana benthamiana. RNAcentral's name for it is "long non-coding RNA (NBEN_LNC024745)". The record is from RNAcentral. Lineage: Eukaryota; Viridiplantae; Streptophyta; Magnoliopsida; Solanales; Solanaceae.